Non-coding RNA from Nerophis lumbriciformis (worm pipefish), 550 nucleotides. NCBI's taxonomy places the organism in Eukaryota, Metazoa, Chordata, Actinopteri, Syngnathiformes, Syngnathidae. The record is from RefSeq and is a predicted model, not a curated record.
AGGCCCCGCCUUCUGAAAUACAUCUCCUAUUGAGAACUCCCAGAUCAAUGUGUGGAGCUCAGCGAACGACAAGGAUCUGAUUCUCCAGGACCUUGAUGCCCUCCUGCACAGCCUGCAGCUCGGCGGCAGUCCUUGGCCGACUGCGUUCAACCGCCUUCAGUUUCUCCACCAUGAGGGGAGCCAGAGCAUGAAUGUACGGGGUAGAAAGGGGGCGGGUGGAAUGCUGAAACACUGACAGCAGCAGCUGAUAACACCGUGCCUGAACCUGUGGUAAAGCAACAGAAUAAGAGUGGAAUUACCAAAGUUAACAAGCCACAUCCAGGAUAUACAAUGUGUUUAAGGAACCUUUUUAGUUUCAAGCACUUACCCAUGGAUCACUAGAGUUGAGGGCAUUACGGAAGCGCUCCAUGCAGCCCUUCUGCAGGACAGUCACCCCUACAAGUUCAUUACUAGCAGAGAGCAGGAAGAGUGUAAUCGCUGUCAACAUGCUGAUCUCAUCCAAAUCAGGCCUGGACUCAUCUAAAGAAAAACACAAGUUUGACAAAUAACA